This 491-nucleotide ribosomal RNA is filed under the name uncultured bacterium. RNAcentral describes it as "bacterial SSU rRNA". It matches the Rfam family "Bacterial small subunit ribosomal RNA", at positions 37 to 518 of the family's 1533-position model. The record is from RNAcentral.
UAGCUACAGGCUUAACACAUGCAAGUCGAGGGCAGCGGGAAGUCAGCUGCUGACUUGCCGGCGACCGGCGCACGGGUGAGUAACGCGUAUCCAACCUUCCCCUUAGUAGGGCAUAGCCCGUAGAAAUGCGGAUUAAUACCCUAUGUUAUUCGUCGAGGACAUCUGAAGUGAAUCAAAGGUUUACCGCUAAGGGAUGGGGAUGCGUCCGAUUAGGCAGCAGGCGGGGUAACGGCCCACCUGGCCGACGAUCGGUAGGGGUUCUGAGAGGAAGGUCCCCCACAUUGGAACUGAGACACGGUCCAAACUCCUACGGGAGGCAGCAGUGAGGAAUAUUGGUCAAUGGGCGCGAGCCUGAACCAGCCAAGUAGCGUGCAAGGACGACGGCCCUAUGGGUUGUAAACUGCUUUUUAUGCGGGGAUAAAGUGCGGCACGUGUGCCGUUUUGUAGGUACCGCAUGAAUGAGGACCGGCUAAUUCCGUGCCAGCCGCUGC